Long non-coding RNA from Leopardus geoffroyi (Geoffroy's cat), 1417 nucleotides. RefSeq lists it as uncharacterized. Lineage: Eukaryota; Metazoa; Chordata; Mammalia; Carnivora; Felidae. The record is from RefSeq and is a predicted model, not a curated record. The transcript has 2 exons.
ACAGUAACUACCCAGUAACAAAAAGAAGAAAUUCUUAUGUGGAGCAAAAGAAGCCAGACACAAGAGUUUAUAUUGUGUUACUCCAAUUAUGUGAAGCACAAAAAACAUGCAUAAUUAAUUCAUUGAAAGAUAGAAGGAGUAUUGGGGUUUCUUUUGGGGGAGCAGGAAGGUGCAUUCCUUCUGGAAUGCUGGAAAUGAUACACUGAUCUGAAUGGUAGUUAUACAGAUGUGUACAUUGCUAUACACAAGAUCUGUGGACUUGACUGUAUCUAAGUUAUAUCUCAAUUAAAAAAAAUAAAACUUUAUAGUAGGCAAGCCACUCAAAAGAUAGUGUCAAACCUCCUUUGUCUAAGACACUGGUUCUCAAAUGUGGUCCACUGAGACCCUUUCAGGAGACCCAAGAGGUCAAAACUGUUUCCACAAUAAGAUGACACUAUAUGCUAUCAUCACGGUCAUUCUCUCUCCAGUAUACAGUGCAGUGCUUCCAAAGGCUACAAUGACGUAUUCUAUCACAAGAGAUUGAAGGCAGAAGCAGAGAAGCCAGCUUUCUUCUACUAAGCCAAAUGAAAUAUCUGCAAAAAUGUAGAAUACCAUACCGCUCACUAGUAAUUUUUGUUUUCUUGGAAAAGCUAUUUUUCAUAAAAGUAUUCUUUACAUUAAGAUGCAAGGAGUUUUAUUUCUAAAUGUGUACACAAAUUUAAAUUUUUUUUCCAUUUUAAUUUCCAACAUAAUAAACUUCAAUGGAUAUAAGCCCAUGUAAACAAAAGCUCUUUGACAUCCUCCACAAUCAUAAAGGGGUCCUGAGACCAUUAAGUUUGAGAAUGGCUGGCCUAAAUGAUAUACAAUGAAAAUAAGCUUCUUUUGCUACUUCUCUUGUAGUGACGAAAAAUAAGGUACAUUUUCUCUGAAACCAUCUGCGCCAGACAAAUCACAGCUACUAUAUUUAUCUGCAUACUUUCAUCCUCGAUUCAGAAAAAACAACUUCCCCUGAAUAUUAUUUUCCCUAGCUAGCUACAUCAGUUUUUAACAGCAGUUUGUCCUUAAAGCUUAAGCUAGACUUCAGAUGAAAACUUAACCAAACUUUAAGCUGCUCUGCCAGCAAAGAAAUUAUAUCCUGCUACCAACACUGUGGUCCCUAAAUUCAUACUACAAGCUGUUGGCCAAGCACAAUUGGCCCAUACGAAUCUAAAUAAAAUAAAGCCCUCCAGAAAAAUCCAGACACAAAGACACACAAAGGAAAAACAAGUUAGAGGAAACACUCAAAUUAUUUUAUUACCCUUCCCUUUACUUGUCAAUACAAAUUCAACAACUCCUAAAUCUAUUAACCCUUUUUUUUUUACCUUUCCUAUGCUCUUGUACUUAAAUUUUUUUCUUCUCUGGAAUCCAGUUUCUUCCACAUCUCUAAAGAUAAAAUUUA